RNAcentral lists this ribosomal RNA (250 nucleotides) under uncultured bacterium. RNAcentral's name for it is "partial 16S ribosomal RNA". It matches the Rfam family "Bacterial small subunit ribosomal RNA", at positions 524 to 773 of the family's 1533-position model. The record is from RNAcentral.
UACGAAGGGGGCUAGCGUUGUUCGGAAUUACUGGGCGUAAAGCGCGCGUAGGCGGACAUUUAAGUCAGGGGUGAAAUCCCGGGGCUCAACCCCGGAACUGCCUCUGAUACUGGGUGUCUAGAGUUCGGAAGAGGUAAGUGGAAUUGCGAGUGUAGAGGUGAAAUUCGUAGAUAUUCGCAGGAACACCAGUGGCGAAGGCGACUUACUGGUCCGAUACUGACGCUGAGGUGCGAAAGCGUGGGGAGCAAAC